Molecule: long non-coding RNA, 803 nt
Organism: Acyrthosiphon pisum (pea aphid)
Lineage: Eukaryota; Metazoa; Arthropoda; Insecta; Hemiptera; Aphididae
Exons: 4
Source: RefSeq, a predicted model, not a curated record
UUUUGAGCAUAAUCGCCCACCAACAUUAGGUUUUAAAAUGAGAACCUACAUGUUUUAAUGCAGAUACCUACCUAUUGAAAUGAUUUAUAUAUGUAUUUUGUAUGUAUUAUUCUUGAUUAUUUAAGUUCAACCAGAUUCGUGCUAAAGUAAUCAUUAAAUUAUAUCAUUUAUUAUAAUUUUAGGUGUUUGUCCGUUAGCUGGUGACUCUAUUUACACGGAUAGAACUUUUAUUGGAAAGCAUAUUAUGCCAAAACUCGAAAUUCGUUUAAGUUAUAGAUUGAUAGACGUGUCUAGUCUAAAAUAGUUGUUUAAGAUAAGUUGUAUACAUUUAAGAAGAAAAACGAGCACCGAAACAAAUCCAACAAUGAACAACGAACACAAAAUUGUAUGGUUUGAUGGUGAGGUGUUUGUCCGUUAGCUGGUGACUCUAUUUACACGGAUAGAACUUUUAUUGGAAAGCAUAUUAUGCCAAAACUCGAAAUUCGUUUAAGUUAUAGAUUGAUAGACGUGUCUACUCUAAAAUAGUUGUUUAAGAUAAGUUGUAUACAUUUAAGAAGAAAAACGAGCACCGAAACCAAUCCAACAAUGAACAACGAACACAAAAUUGUAUGGUUUAAUGGUGAGGUUUGUAAUUAUUAUUAACUCUGCUUAAAUUAAUCAAAUAUUAACAUAUACAUGGGCAUUUUUUGAGCAUAAUCGCCCACCAACAUUAGGUUUUCAAAUGAGAACCUACAUGUUUUAAUGCAGAUACCUACCUAUUGAAAUGAUUUAUAUAUGUAUUUUGUAUGUAUUAUUCUUGAUUA